UAGGGAAUCUUCCACAAUGGACGCAGGUCUGAUGGAGCAACGCCGCGUGAGUGAAGAAGGGUUUCGGCUCGUAAAGCUCUGUUGUUAAAGAAGAACGUGGGUAAGAGUAACUGUUUACCCAGUGACGGUAUUUAACCAGAAAGCCACGGCUAACUACGUGCCAG
Molecule: ribosomal RNA, 164 nt
Filed under: uncultured bacterium
Lineage: Bacteria
Description: partial 16S rRNA
Rfam family: Bacterial small subunit ribosomal RNA
Source: RNAcentral